CAGUUUCAUCCAGUUUCAUACAGUUUAUCUUAUCACUUCGGUUUCACUAUAACCUUAUGGAGCCAUACAGAUAUUUUAACUUGCUCUUGCAUGAAUCAUACAGUACAAUAAACAGUAAGAAAGAUCAUGAAGGUAAAAUGAAAGCCGCAUGUUAUGUGUGAUUAUAUGUGCUUACAUAAUGCUUUUUGCUUAUAUGUGUGUUUAUUGUUGUUUUAUGUUGAGAUAUCCACUGAGCUUUAUUUGCUCAGCGAGUUACCUGUUUAACUCGCAGGUUUUGAGACUGGUCUUUUAAGCGUCAGCGUACAACUGCAGCAGUUCAUCUGUAGAAGACUCGGUCUUCAGGGUAGCUCCCUAUUUUGAUGUGUAACUUUUAUUUAUUCUAUUCAUGGCUUGUACAGGGCACACAGUUGGGCCCAUUUCACUUUAAAAACUUGUAUCAUGUAUAUCAAUUUUCAGUAUUCUAUUAAUGUAAACAGCUUUUGUAUACUAUAAUAGUCAAUAGUCAGUAUGAUAUCAGCAU
Jatropha curcas is the source of this 520-nucleotide non-coding RNA. NCBI's taxonomy places the organism in Eukaryota, Viridiplantae, Streptophyta, Magnoliopsida, Malpighiales, Euphorbiaceae. The record is from RefSeq and is a predicted model, not a curated record.